RNAcentral lists this ribosomal RNA (342 nucleotides) under uncultured bacterium. Its description in RNAcentral is "bacterial SSU rRNA". It matches the Rfam family "Bacterial small subunit ribosomal RNA", at positions 111 to 456 of the family's 1533-position model. The record is from RNAcentral.
UAAUGCAUCGGAACGUGCCCUGAAGUGGGGGAUAACGUAGGGAAAGUUACGCUAAUACCGCAUAUUUUGUGAGCAGGAAAGCAGGGGAUCUUCGGACCUUGCGCUUUUGGAGCGGCCGAUGUCGGAUUAGCUAGUUGGUGGGGUAAAGGCCCACCAAGGCGACGAUCCGUAGCGGGUCUGAGAGGAUGAUCCGCCACACUGGAACUGAGACACGGUCCAGACUCCUACGGGAGGCAGCAGUGGGGAAUUUUGGACAAUGGGCGCAAGCCUGAUCCAGCCAUGCCGCGUGAGUGAAGAAGGCCUUCGGGUUGUAAAGCUCUUUCGGUGGGGAAGAAAUUGCUU